UACGGAGGAUGCGAGCGUUAUCCGGAUUUAUUGGGUUUAAAGGGUGCGUAGGCGGAUCGUUAAGUCAGUGGUCAAAUUGAGGGGCUCAACCCCUUGCCGCCAUUGAAACUGGCGAUCUUGAGUGGAAGAGAAGUAUGCGGAAUGCGUGGUGUAGCGGUGAAAUGCAUAGAUAUCACGCAGAACCCCGAUUGCGAAGGCAGCAUGCCGGCUUCCUACUGACGCUGAAGCACGAAAGCGUGGGGAUCGAACAGG
This 252-nucleotide ribosomal RNA is filed under the name uncultured bacterium. RNAcentral's name for it is "partial 16S ribosomal RNA". It matches the Rfam family "Bacterial small subunit ribosomal RNA", at positions 524 to 776 of the family's 1533-position model. The record is from RNAcentral.